CAGGACUCGCAAGACUCCCGUAAACACACUGUGAACUUUACCUACAAUCAGCAAACCGUUGGCCUCGUCGGCGGGUGCCUACGGGCGCGGUCUUCGGGCGCUCCGGGGGCGCCUCCAGCCUCCGCCGGCGGCCCCUAAACUCCUGUCUCUGUAACGUUGGCAUCUCUCGAGCAGACUAUAUAGAACGAGUCA
RNAcentral lists this unclassified non-coding RNA (192 nucleotides) under soil metagenome. RNAcentral's name for it is "partial internal transcribed spacer 1". The record is from RNAcentral.